GCUCCAGUGGCGGGAUGUGAUUCACCAGCAAGGAGGGACGCCAAUAAGGCUGAAUUUUAAAUGUCUAAAUAUAUAGUCUGCCUAGGUAUGGAGAAAUACAGCAUCAAUGUGUCAUCAGUGGGCAUUCAACAUUCAGUCCCAAAAACCCACUGCCCCUCACUAUGACAUUUUUCUGUGUUGGCAGAAACAGGUUCAAUAUCUGUCAGCUAAAAGAACCUGGAUUGUGAGCAUCAGGACUCAGGGCAGAAGAGAAUUGCAAGUAAAGAGUGAGAUGCCAGAAACCAUCCGGCCACUUUCAUCCAAUCACUUCCCACCACUUGCUCAUCGAGGUGGUGUGUGCUCCCAGACAGCCACCUGCUCAACUUUCCACUGCGUGGAAUCCCAGCUCCUUAAUCAAAACGAAACAAAAGGAUGUCUCUCUUCGGGGUGAUGAUACGAUGCACUUUCCUGCGCUCCGAGGUACCACCACGGAGAGAUGGGCAUCCUGGCGCCAGAGUGUCCUCUGAGGCUGGGCUGCCUGGGUCAGAAAGAGACAUCAGAGAUUAUAUAAUCAAGUCCUACGUUGGAUAGAGAAGAAAGCCUGAAGCCCAGAGCAGACUCGAGACUUGCCAAGGUCAUAUGAGUUUUUAAUGAACAUUUCAUUUGUGUAAAUAAAGAGGCAGCGCACAACAAGAACCACUCAUCAAAAGUCUGAUAUUUUCCUUAGAAAUAAAGACAAACAUUGUGCCUCUUAAAUGCGGUGGGAGUUGAAGGAUGGUCAAAGGUUUGUUCUCUAGGCUCUAGCGUUCUGGGGCACCAGAGACCUUUACUGGAACGGGGUAUUUACAGUUCUGGACUUUGGCUUGUUCCUGCUUCAACAUAGACUUCACCAGAUGUGAACCAGGAAACAAUGUACCCUGCGCAUCAUUCACACUGGGACCAUGUUCUCUCCAAGAAACUUUGUUUCCAGGAAGGGACUUCCCAACCCUAUACCUGUUAGCUCAGUGCUCUAGCCCUGAACUAUGUCAGCCACCAAAAAGAAAAUUCUUCCCCAUGGUCCACUGAACCACUCAAGCCUCCUGGAGAGUUGCAAAAUCUAAACAAACAGGUUGUGUUUUCAGUUUGUCUACUUUAAAACCAAACUUCACCCACGUGAAACUGGCAGGCAUGCUUCAAAUGGCGAAGGCUUCUAGGUGCUUUCUGAGCCGCUUCUGACUCACAUCCUAGCCACCUAUUUAUUCUGAGACAGGAGGACUCUUUUUUUUUUUUUCUUCAAUGUAACCAACUGGUUCUUGCCAUUUCCCCAUUGUUUCUCC
This 1295-nucleotide long non-coding RNA is filed under the name Cricetulus griseus (Chinese hamster). Its description in RNAcentral is "lncRNA (ENSCGRG00015030223.1)". Lineage: Eukaryota; Metazoa; Chordata; Mammalia; Rodentia; Cricetidae. The record is from RNAcentral.